Dermacentor andersoni is the source of this 2133-nucleotide non-coding RNA. The record is from RefSeq and is a predicted model, not a curated record. NCBI's taxonomy places the organism in Eukaryota, Metazoa, Arthropoda, Arachnida, Ixodida, Ixodidae.
AGUCCAAUAGAAUCGUAUCAAACAAUAUUUAGUACUACGAAGAAGAGCAGUCAGGUUGAAACACUAAGCAGCAAAUUAUUUCACCACCACCGACGCGCUGCUCCUAUAGCGAGAUAGAUAUUUGGGCGAGUUGGUAAGGUUCCAUGACGAAGAAGGGGAUUGCAAUCAACACAUACGAAGCUGCAGGAAAGGACAACAGGAGUGCUCGUGUUGUCCUUCAGCUUCAUAUGUGAUGAUCGCACUCCCCUACUUCACCAUGCUACUCCUAUGUUGGCCGCUGUCACUGAAAGCUAUGAAAUUCUCUCAGUGUAGGACAUGCACCAUAAUUAUAGCACUUUUCUAUGUUGGAUGCCUUCUUUCUCUUUCCUUGAAGGGGAUAUUUAGACCUGUUGGGCAAGGCAUAAUUCACUGUACAGCCUGAUAAACAGGCUCGAAAACCAGAGGGGACAACACACAACAUUGUGACUUGAGACAAAGAGGCCAAGGGGCCAGCGGGACUGUGUCCUUGCUUCUGCUUAUUUGUCCUGUCUUCCAUGGCUCAGUGAAUUAUUCACUUUCCUGUGGCCACUGCUGAUUUCGUGAAAUCAACUUGCCAUGUUCUCUCACUUAUGUUUUGAUGUGAAUUUGUCCAUGUUUAAGUUGCUUAAGGUAGAUUCACAUGAUGGAUGCAAUGUUCUGCCCAUUGCGCUCACUGAAUAUAAGUGAGUGGAACUGAAUCCUACUGCCAGCAGUUUGUCUAUGAAGUCCAAAUGCGCAUUUGGAUCUGUUACCUCUGUGCCACAUCAUAAUCGGUCAGUAAAGUAAAUUGGGGACUUGGCCCAUUAUGUGAAUCAAUCUUUUUUUUUUCUUCCACCAUUGUACUUGGUGUUGCACCUCUUGUUCGUUGUAUUUUUUUGAGAAUGUGGCCAAUAGGAAAUGUUAACAUUCCACACUGUCACAUUGUCAACAGGCAUUGAUAGCUGAUUUUUAAAGCUGAAGAAAGGGUGAGCAACUUCCAUGCAAGAUUUGUGGUUCCCUGUCAUGUGACAUAGAUGUAAUAUCUAAACAGAAGCUUCUUAUCGCCACACUACCUAAUAACUAGCAGACUUCAUUUACUGUUUUCAAAGAAUGUUGCAGAGUACUGCUACAGAGAAAAUUUGGAGGACGCUUAAGCUUCGCCUUCAAGAGUGGAACACAAUAGCAUUAAAAAAUCCCCGACUGCUUCUCACAAACCCCAGCAACUGCAGCUUAUGUAACCGUAAUGUUUGCCAGCAAAUGCUGGUGGCGAAUUCUAUGCAUGAAGGCGAGCUUUCUGGUAUAAAUGUGGCCUCUUGCGUGGGCUGCGAGUGCACAGAGGCGAGUGCCAGCUGGACGGUGUUGUUAGAAGGAAUCGAGCUCGUGGCACUAUACUCUAUGAAUGGUUGCAACGCUGGAAAAGUGGUUUAUGUUUGAGUUUCAGCGUAGCAGAAUCAUGUUUUCUGCUACAGUUAAUCCUCAAUGUAACGAACUUCAAUUUAACGAAACUCUCAAUAUAACAAAAUAUUUAAGAUUUCAUAACCUUUUGUCCAUAGAACACCAUGUAAUUAGAAUCCCAAUAUAACAAAUGUGUAUGCGAUUUCAAUGUAACGAAAUUUCUCUUCCACAGCAAAAGAAUCCCAAGACAAUAAAUAGAAACUUCUGCGGACGCAGAUGGUCACAUGAUUGAAUUACUAGCAACUGCUUUCAAACGCACCUCUCAUAUCGCGCGCGGCGCGACAAGAGCGACCGCCGAAAUGAAACCGUAAUAUGUUCCAUGUGAAGUCCAACGGCGAUAAGAUCCUAUCGCGCCCUUUGCGCUUUAGGUGCGAGUGAAAGCGCGAGGGUGAGAAGGAAAGAUGGUGGCUUCACGCACGAGUGCCGCCUCUCCGCAUGAGUAGAGGGAAAGAGGGGAGAAGAGCGAGCUCGCGGUAACGCGAUCACGCGCGAGGGGAGGGGGGAGUUGGCGCGCAUCGCGAUUUCUGGCGCGCGCCUCUACCGUAGCUGAAGCGCCGCUGAUAGUACAUGCAGCCGCAUACCCUGCUUUAGAGGCACCGCCAGAUGGCAGCAAAGUGCUCAUCCACGUGUAGACAACUUGUCUGCGAGACAAGCUGGUCCACAAUCCUCACUCUUUGCAAC